CCUACGGGAGGCAGCAGUGGGGAAUAUUGCACAAUGGGGGAAACCCUGAUGCAGCGACGCCGCGUGAGUGAAGAAGUAAUUCGUUAUGUAAAGCUCUAUCAGCAGGGAAGAAAAUGACGGUACCUGAGUAAGAAGCCCCGGCUAACUACGUGCCAGCAGCCGCGGUAAUACGUAGGGGGCAAGCGUUAUCCGGAUUGACGGGGUGGAAAGGGAGCGUAGACGGCAGUGCAAGUCUGGAGUGAAGGGCGGGGGCUCAACCCCCGGACUGCUCUGGAAACUGUACGGCUGGAGUGCAGGAGAGGUAAGUGGAAUUCCUAGUGUAGCGGUGAAAUGCGUAGAUAUUAGGAGGAACACCAGUGGCGAAGGCGGCUUACUGGACUGUAACUGACGUUGAGGCUCGAAAGCGUGGGGAGCAAACAGGAUUAGAUACCCUGGUAGUC
RNAcentral lists this ribosomal RNA (440 nucleotides) under uncultured bacterium. RNAcentral describes it as "partial 16S ribosomal RNA". It matches the Rfam family "Bacterial small subunit ribosomal RNA", at positions 338 to 795 of the family's 1533-position model. The record is from RNAcentral.